UCUGGCAAGUUAUUUCCUCACUGUGGUCUCCCAUUUUGACAAACCUUCAAUAGGAAAGCUGAUUUCUGGUUUACAUCUUCUAAGUGUCUUUGUUUUCUAGGCUGUAUGACCCUAAAUGUGCCACCAGCUCCUUCAUCAACUGGCUUUCUGGCCUUCCUUGAGUAAACCAAAUCAGAAUUGCAAGAAUCUGUGAAGCUGGACCAAGUUAAGCUUCUUUAACACUUAUUGAUACAGCCUUGCUCGAGCUUUUAGGAGUCUUUACUGCAAGGAGCACUUUCAAAGUGUCAAGCAAUAUAAAGAUCACAGUAGAGGCUUGCAGAGGAUGGGAUCAGCAGAAAGAGAAAAGCAUUGAAGAAGAUAUCUGGAAGAAGGAAGAUCAGAUUGUCAGAGCCUGGGUGACGAGCAUGUGUGAACAUGAGACUAAGGUCUUUUUACAUUACCUUUCCAUCAGGUAAUAUGGUUGUUAUGUAGUAAAUCAGGGAUAAUCGCAGCACUUGAUUAAAAGCAGCAAAUUCAACAAUGAUUAUUUUGGAGCUCAAGAGUUGAAAAUUGAAAAGUCUACAGGGGAAGCAGACUGAGAGUGCUGUAGAGAUAUCAGCAGGGAAGGAUGCAGACCUUCAGACCACAGA
Myiozetetes cayanensis is the source of this 629-nucleotide long non-coding RNA. RefSeq lists it as uncharacterized. The record is from RefSeq and is a predicted model, not a curated record. The transcript has 4 exons. NCBI's taxonomy places the organism in Eukaryota, Metazoa, Chordata, Aves, Passeriformes, Tyrannidae.